This 497-nucleotide ribosomal RNA is filed under the name uncultured bacterium. Its description in RNAcentral is "partial 16S ribosomal RNA". It matches the Rfam family "Bacterial small subunit ribosomal RNA", at positions 28 to 507 of the family's 1533-position model. The record is from RNAcentral.
GAUGAACGCUGGCGGCGUGCCUAAUACAUGCAAGUCGAGCGAACAGACGAGGAGCUUGUUCCUCUGACGUUAGCGGCGGACGGGUGAGUAACACGUGGAUAACCUACCUAUAAGACUGGGAUAACUUCGGGAAACCGGAGCUAAUACCGGAUAAUAUAUUGAACCGCAUGGUUCAAUAGUGAAAGACGGUGUUGCUGUCACGUAUAGAUGGAUCCGCGCCGCAUUAGCUAGUUGGUAAGGUAACGGCUUAGCAAGGCGACGAUGCGUUGCCGACCUGAGAGACGGAUCGGCCACCCUGGAACUGAGACACGGUCCAGGCUCCUACGGGAGGCAGCAGUAGGGAAUCGUCCGCAAUGGGCGAGAGCCUGGCAGAGCGGCGCCGCGUGAGUGAUGAAAGUCUUCGGAGCGUGAAACUCUGUUAUGGGGGGAGAACAAAUGUGUAAGUAACUAAGCACGUAUUGACGGUACCUAGUCAGAAAGCCACGGCUAACUACGUG